Molecule: ribosomal RNA, 449 nt
Filed under: uncultured bacterium
Lineage: Bacteria
Description: partial 16S ribosomal RNA
Rfam family: Bacterial small subunit ribosomal RNA
Source: RNAcentral
AACGAACGCUGGCGGCAUGCCUAACACAUGCAAGUCGAACGAAGGCUUCGGCCUUAGUGGCGCACGGGUGCGUAACGCGUGGGAAUCUGCCCCUCGGUACGGAAUAACAGUUAGAAAUGACUGCUAAUACCGGAUGAUGACUUCGGUCCAAAGAUUUAUCGCCGAGGGAUGAGUCCGCGUAAGAUUAGGUAGUUGGUGGGGUAAAGGCCUACCAAGCCGACGAUCUUUAGCUGGUCUGAGAGGAUGAUCAGCCACACUGGGACUGAGACACGGCCCAGACUCCUACGGGAGGCAGCAGUGGGGAAUAUUGGACAAUGGGCGAAAGCCUGAUCCAGCAAUGCCGCGUGAGUGAUGAAGGCCUUAGGGUUGUAAAGCUCUUUUACCAGGGAUGAUAAUGACAGUACCUGGAGAAUAAGCUCCGGCUAACUCCGUGCCAGCAGCCGCAGUAA